This 1718-nucleotide long non-coding RNA is filed under the name Ananas comosus (pineapple). RNAcentral's name for it is "long non-coding RNA (ACOM_LNC026250)". The record is from RNAcentral. Lineage: Eukaryota; Viridiplantae; Streptophyta; Magnoliopsida; Poales; Bromeliaceae.
AUUUUACAUAUAUAUUUAUAUAUAUAUAUAUAUAAAUAUUUUGUAAUAAUAUAUAUAUAUAUAAAAAGAAAGAGAGUUGAGCUAGAAUACUAUUAAUAAUAUUUGGGCUCUUUUACUAUCAAUUUUUAGGCGUUAGAUUUAUACUUUAAUUAAUUCCGCUCUUUAGAUCAUACAAUUUAACCAACCAUCCACUCAACCCUGGGAGGACCAUUAAAUCUUAGGGGACCACUAUCAUCCUAAUCCUAUAAUUUUUUAUCCAACGGUUAAAAACUCGAUAGCAAAAGAGCCAAAAUAUUAUUAAUAGUAUUCCAGCCAAAUUAUAUAAAUAUAUAUAUAUAUAUAGAGAGAGAGAGAGAGAGAGAGAGAGAAAGAGAGAGAGAGUCCAGCUACUAUACUCUUAUGAGUACGAUCGCCUUUGUACUCAUAAGUCAUUUUCGAUGAUAGAGCUUCCGAAUCAUAAGUCAUUUUCGAUGAUAGAGCUUCCGAAUCGACAAUUCAUACCGUUAAACGUUAAACCUUCUAGCAAUCAAAUUUUAUAAUUUUUGACAUUAUUUACCUUACGAUAAAAAAAAAUCUCAAAACUGACAAUUUUUAACAGCUUGUAUGGAAUACUUGCUAGUUUAACGGCGUAAAAGAAUCAGAACCGGUUGAAUUUUUUAUAGAAAAUUAUAUUCACUAUCUAGAUAAAGAUCAAUAAUUCUUAUCUUAAAUUGAAUGAUUCAAUCAUCCAUUUUUAAAAGGUCGUUCGAUUUUGAUCGUUCAUUUUAUGCCCGCUUGAUGGACUUUAUAAUGAUUUCGAAAAAUUACGAAAUUUAUUUUUUAGAAGUUUCAAAUACUCUAAAUCAUAUAUAACGGACUGAAUCGUCGAUUCGGAAGAUUUAUCAUCAAAAGCAACUUAUAAGUACUAAAGGCUCUUUACUCAUAAGAGUAUAGUAGCCCUACUCUCUCUCUCUCUAUAUAUAUAUAUAUAGUAUAGUAGAAUAAUUCUAUAUUAUUACAAAAUAUUUUUAUAUAUAAAAUUAUGUUAUUGUAAAACAUUUUAUGUAUACAUCUUAUUUAUAAAUAUAUAGUGAUUUAUUUUAUAGUAUUAAAUUUAGAAAAACUUCAAAAAGCCCCCUUGGUUUCUCUUUUUCUCACUUUCGCACCAUGUGGUUUAAAGUGUAUCAAUUUGGUGCCCUGUGGUUUCAUUUUUAUCUUUUCAGCAGCUUUUUCAUUAAUAUUUUGUUAAAUUAUAUACCAAAAAACUUCAGGUACCGACCUAGGUUUAUCGAAUAUUCAUUUUAGUACCCUUUAAUUUUAACUUUGUCACUGAUAAUAAAAAAAUAGUGAAAUUGAUACACUUUAAACCACAGGGCACUAAAGUGAGAAAGUGCGAAACCACAAAGGGGUUUUUUAAGUUUUCCCUUAAAUUUAUACUAUUAUAUAUUAUAUUACAUAUUUAUUGUAUAAUAAAUUUAAAAUAUAUUUUAUUUAUAAAUAUAAAUAAUAAUAAUAAUAAUAUAUAUAGUAUGAUAAUUAUUAUAUAUCAAUAAUAAAUAAAAUAUAGAAUAAAAAAAUACAUAUAAUAAUUUCUGUUUAAUAUCUUUUUCUUUCAAGUUCCAACUAAACAAUUGUAACAAAAAACUAUUUAUUUCCUACAAACUGCUCAAUAAAGAGCAUAAAAUUUAUUUUCCUUCAAAAAAAAUUUUUCAUCAAAAUUAAUUUUUAUAAUUUUAUAU